CGCGUAGGUGGCUUGUCAGGUCUGAUGUGAAAUCUCGGGGCUCAACCCCGAACGUGCAUCGGAAACCGGCUUGCUAGAGUCUGGGAGAGGAGAGUGGAAUUCCUGGUGUAGCGGUGAAAUGCGUAGAUAUCAGGAGGAACACCGGUAGCGAAGGCGGCUCUCUGGAACAGUACUGACACUGAGGCGCGAAAGCUAGGGGAGCGAACA
This 207-nucleotide ribosomal RNA is filed under the name uncultured bacterium. RNAcentral describes it as "partial 16S ribosomal RNA". It matches the Rfam family "Bacterial small subunit ribosomal RNA", at positions 568 to 774 of the family's 1533-position model. The record is from RNAcentral.